GUUUUUGAUCUCGGCGUGUGUACAGCAGUGGCUAUCCUUACAGCACAGGGAUCCUUAGAAGUGACUAGGGUACGGACCCCGGAACGUUACACUUGACAUGAAGCCUUGAAGGGUGGUUACUUGCUCCGAUUACCUGCUGCAGUUCAUCUAUUGCGCUUUAAAUGAAGAAAAUUAUGAGUCAAACAGGCUGGUGAAUUUACAACACAGAGGAAAGUCACCACUGUGCAUAGAUGCUGUCUAAAGUGAUUAUGAUGUCAUCAUUUGAUGAUUACUUCAAUAUUCACUCUUUCAUUGUAAAUGUAGCAAACCUUUUUUUACCAA
Molecule: long non-coding RNA, 321 nt
Organism: Mizuhopecten yessoensis (Yesso scallop)
Lineage: Eukaryota; Metazoa; Mollusca; Bivalvia; Pectinida; Pectinidae
Exons: 3
Source: RefSeq, a predicted model, not a curated record